RNAcentral lists this ribosomal RNA (371 nucleotides) under Priolepis dawsoni. RNAcentral's name for it is "partial small subunit ribosomal RNA". It matches the Rfam family "Bacterial small subunit ribosomal RNA", at positions 869 to 1403 of the family's 1533-position model. The record is from RNAcentral. Lineage: Eukaryota; Metazoa; Chordata; Actinopteri; Gobiiformes; Gobiidae.
UCGCCAGGAGACUACGAGCGCUGUAGCUUAAAACCCAAAGGACUUGGCGGUGCUUUAAACCCCCCUAGAGGAGCCUGUUCUAGAAUCGAUAAUCCCCGUUAAACCUCACCCUCUCUUGUUCAUUCCCGCCUAUAUACCGCCGUCGCCAGCUUACCCUGUGAAGGAUUAAUAGUAAGCAAAAUUGGCACAGCCCAGUACGUCAGGUCAACGUGUAGCGUACGAGAGGGGAAGAAAUGGGCUACAUUUACUGAGACAGUAAAUACGGAUCUUGCACUGAAAUAAUGCUUGUGAAGGAGGAUUUAGCAGUAAGAAGAGAAUAGAGUGCUCUCCUGAAGCCGGCUCUAAAGCGCGUACACACCGCCCGUCACCCU